CUACGGGAGGCAGCAGUGAGGAAUAUUGGACAAUGGUCGAAAGACUGAUCCAGCCAUGCCGCGUGCAGGAUGAAUGCCCUAUGGGUUGUAAACUGCUUUUAUACGGGAAGAACACCACCCACGUGUGGGUGACUGACGGUACCGUAAGAAUAAGGACCGGCUAACUCCGUGCCAGCAGCCGCGGUAAUACGGAGGGUCCAAGCGUUAUCCGGAAUCAUUGGGUUUAAAGGGUCCGUAGGCGGGCUAUUAAGUCAGAGGUGAGAGUUUGCAGCUCAACUGUAAAAUUGCCUUUGAUACUGGUAGUCUUGAGUUAUAGUGAAGUGGUUAGAAUAUGUGGUGUAGCGGUGAAAUGCAUAGAUAUCACAUAGAAUACCAAUUGCGAAGGCAGAUCACUAACUAUAUACUGACGCUGAUGGACGAAAGCGUGGGGAGCGAACGGGAUUAGAUACCCCUGUAGUC
RNAcentral lists this ribosomal RNA (459 nucleotides) under uncultured bacterium. RNAcentral describes it as "partial 16S ribosomal RNA". It matches the Rfam family "Bacterial small subunit ribosomal RNA", at positions 339 to 795 of the family's 1533-position model. The record is from RNAcentral.